UACAGAGGCCUCGAGCGUUAGGCGGAAUCACUGGGCUUAAAGCGUGUGUAGGCGGAUUGGUAAGUACCUUGUGAAAUCCCACGGCUUAACCGUGGAACUGCUCGGUAUACUGCUGAUCUUGAGCCACUCAGGGGCUACCGGAACAAAUGGUGGAGCGGUGAAAUGCGUAGAUAUCAUUUGGAACGCCAAUGGUGAAAACAGGUAGCUGAGGGUGUGCUGACGCUGAGACACGAAAGCCAGGGGAGCAAACAGG
RNAcentral lists this ribosomal RNA (253 nucleotides) under uncultured bacterium. Its description in RNAcentral is "partial 16S ribosomal RNA". It matches the Rfam family "Bacterial small subunit ribosomal RNA", at positions 524 to 776 of the family's 1533-position model. The record is from RNAcentral.